GAUGAAGAACGUAGCGAAAUGCGAUAAGUAAUGUGAAUUGCAGAAUUUAGUGAAUCAUCGAAUCUUUGAACGCAUAUUGCGCCCGCCAGCACUCUGGCGGGCAUGCCUGUUCGAGCGUCAUUUCAACCCUCAGGCCUCGCGUCUGGCGUUGGGGCGCUGCGGCCCUCCCGCAGGCCCCCAAAUUUAGCGGCGGAUUCCCCGCGGCCCUGAGCGCAGUAGAGAGUAAAAACUUUAACGCUCCGGCGGCCGUGGCGCGGUUCUGCCUCUUUCCCAAUAGCGCCAAUAGCGCCACCCCCAAAAAAGUUGACCUCGGAUCAGGUAGGACUACCCGCUGAACUUAAGCGUAUCAAUAAGCGGAGGA
RNAcentral lists this unclassified non-coding RNA (361 nucleotides) under soil metagenome. RNAcentral describes it as "partial contains 5.8S ribosomal RNA, internal transcribed spacer 2, and large subunit ribosomal RNA". The stretch from base 1 to 120 matches the Rfam family "5.8S ribosomal RNA", at positions 35 to 154 of the family's 154-position model. The record is from RNAcentral.